RNAcentral lists this ribosomal RNA (490 nucleotides) under uncultured bacterium. RNAcentral's name for it is "partial 16S ribosomal RNA". It matches the Rfam family "Bacterial small subunit ribosomal RNA", at positions 30 to 507 of the family's 1533-position model. The record is from RNAcentral.
AUUGAACGCUGGCGGCAGGCCUAACACAUGCAAGUCGAAUGGUAACAGGAAACAGCUUGCUGUUUCGCUGACGAGUGGCGGACGGGUGAGUAAUGUCUGGGAAACUGCCUGAUGGAGGGGGAUAACUACUGGAAACGGUAGCUAAUACCGCAUAACGUCGCAAGACCAAAGAGGGGGACCUUCGGGCCUCUUGCCAUCAGAUGUGCCCAGAUGGGAUUAGCUAGUAGGUGGGGUAACGGCUCACCUAGGCGACGAUCCCUAGCUGGUCUGAGAGGAUGACCAGCCACACUGGAACUGGGACACGGUCCAGACUCCUACGGGAGGCAGCAGUGGGGAAUAUUGCACAAUGGGCGCAAGCCUGAUGCAGCCAUGCCGCGUGUAUGAAGAAGGCCUUCGGGUUGUAAAGUACUUUCAGCGGGGAGGAAGGGAGUAAAGUUAAUACCUUUGCUCAUUGACGUUACCCUCAGAAGAAGCACCGGCUAACUCCGUG